Molecule: ribosomal RNA, 497 nt
Filed under: uncultured bacterium
Lineage: Bacteria
Description: partial 16S ribosomal RNA
Rfam family: Bacterial small subunit ribosomal RNA
Source: RNAcentral
GAUGAACGCUGGCGGCGUGCCUAAUACAUGCAAGUCGAGCGAACAGACGAGGAGCAUGCUUCUCUGACGUUAGCGGCGGACGGGUGAGUAACACGUGGAUAACCUACCUAUAAGACUGGGAUAACUUCGGGAAACCGGAGCUAAUACCGGAUAAUAUAUUGAACCGCAUGGUUCAAUAGUGAAAGACGGUUUUGCUGUCACUUAUAGAUGGAUCCGCGCCGCAUUAGCUAGUUGGUAAGGUAACGGCUUACCAAGGCGACGAUGCGUAGCCGACCUGAGAGGGUGAUCGGCCACACUGGAACUGAGACACGGUCCAGACUCCUACGGGAGGCAGCAGUAGGGAAUCUUCCGCAAUGGGCGAAAGCCUGACGGAGCAACGCCGCGUGAGUGAUGAAGGUCUUCGGAUCGUAAAACUCUGUUAUUAGGGAAGAACAAAUGUGUAAGUAACUAUGCACGUCUUGACGGUACCUAAUCAGAAAGCCACGGCUAACUACGUG